RNAcentral lists this ribosomal RNA (253 nucleotides) under uncultured bacterium. RNAcentral's name for it is "partial 16S ribosomal RNA". It matches the Rfam family "Bacterial small subunit ribosomal RNA", at positions 524 to 776 of the family's 1533-position model. The record is from RNAcentral.
UACGAAGGGGGCUAGCGUUGCUCGGAAUGACUGGGCGUAAAGGGCGCGUAGGCGGAUGGCACAGUCAGAUGUGAAAUUCCUGGGCUUAACCUGGGGGCUGCAUUUGAGACGUGUGAUCUGGAGUGAGGAAGAGGGUUGUGGAAUUCCCAGUGUAGAGGUGAAAUUCGUAGAUAUUGGGAAGAACACCGGUGGCGAAGGCGGCGACCUGGUCCUUAACUGACGCUGAGGUGCGAAAGCGUGGGGAGCAAACAGG